Small nucleolar RNA from Tachyglossus aculeatus (Australian echidna), 138 nucleotides. The record is from RefSeq and is a predicted model, not a curated record. Lineage: Eukaryota; Metazoa; Chordata; Mammalia; Monotremata; Tachyglossidae.
CCCCUCUCUGGGUCGCUCCUGGGGAGUUUCCAGUACUCUACCAGUCUCGACUGUGGGAGGGAGAGUUAAGCAGAGGCUUGCCCAUUCCUUUCCUAGCUUUGGCAGCGGCUAGCGAGUGUAAGGCAAUCUGCUACAAGU